UACAGAGGUCUCAAGCGUUGUUCGGAUUCAUUGGGCGUAAAGGGUGCGUAGGCGGCGCGGUAAGUCGGGUGUGAAAUCUCGGAGCUUAACUCCGAAACUGCAUUCGAUACUGCCGUGCUUGAGGACUGGAGAGGAGACUGGAAUUUACGGUGUAGCGGUGAAAUGCGUAGAUAUCAGGAGGAACACCGAUGGCGAAGGCAGGUCUCUGGGCCACUACUGACGCUGAGAAGCGAAAGCAUGGGGAGCGAACAGG
RNAcentral lists this ribosomal RNA (253 nucleotides) under uncultured bacterium. Its description in RNAcentral is "partial 16S ribosomal RNA". It matches the Rfam family "Bacterial small subunit ribosomal RNA", at positions 524 to 776 of the family's 1533-position model. The record is from RNAcentral.